Molecule: long non-coding RNA, 483 nt
Organism: Leguminivora glycinivorella
Lineage: Eukaryota; Metazoa; Arthropoda; Insecta; Lepidoptera; Tortricidae
Exons: 3
Source: RefSeq, a predicted model, not a curated record
UAUAAAUAUUGAUGUAAAAUUAAUAUAGGCAGUAAAGUUGUUAAAAAGGGAUACAUUUAUUACUCAAAUAAGUUAGACAGCAUGACAGUAAAACCAAACCAUAACAGUGAAACAGAAGGUACCUAUUUUGUACCAGUUAAUCUUCGGGCUAGAUCUCGCUCGUGCGAGGAGGCCCUAAAAGACUUGUGAACCCCUUGUGAACGCCCUCGGUGAUCCUUAACUGGCGUGAACUGGCGCAGGAUAGGGCAGAGUGGCGAUCUCUUGUGUCGGAUCUCGUGUGAUCCUCUUUGGGUCGCUGAGCCAGUGAAAUUAUGAGUAUUAGCCACGAUAUAACUCAUGAAGGAGGGAGAACCUAGAGAACGAACCUAUGGAACGAGAGACGAAGUUGGUCAUAAAUAGAACAGGAGCGAUGAGAUAUUGGGCAGAUUCUCCGGUCGCUGCUUGCUCCUCAUACCCACCCAGAAACUCUGCCGUGUGUCUGCU